GGAUGUGAGGGCGAUCUGGCUGCGACAUCUGUUACCCCAUUGAUCGCCAGGGUUGAUUGGGCUGAUCUGGCUGGCUAGGCGGGUGUCCCCUUCCUCCUUCACUGCUCCAUGUGCGUCCCUCCCGAAGCUGCCCGCUCGGUCGAAGAGGACGACCAUCCCCGCUAGAGGAGGACCGGUCUUCGGUCAAGGGUAUACGAGUAGCUGCGCUCCCCUGCUAGAACCUCCAAACAAGCUCUCAAGGAAUGAAGGUAUAGAGAGGGCUCUAAGGCUUAAAGUCACAGUUUUGUGAUUCCUAAGUGAAGCUGGUGUAA
This 311-nucleotide small nuclear RNA is filed under the name Colobus angolensis palliatus. Its description in RNAcentral is "7SK RNA (ENSCANG00000002233.1)". It matches the Rfam family "7SK RNA". Rfam says of the family: 7SK was discovered as an abundant small nuclear RNA in the mid-70s but a possible function has only recently been suggested. Two independent studies have found that 7SK RNA binds the CDK9/cyclin T complex (known as elongation factor P-TEFb). The record is from Rfam by way of RNAcentral. Lineage: Eukaryota; Metazoa; Chordata; Mammalia; Primates; Cercopithecidae.